RNAcentral lists this ribosomal RNA (508 nucleotides) under uncultured bacterium. Its description in RNAcentral is "partial 16S ribosomal RNA". It matches the Rfam family "Bacterial small subunit ribosomal RNA", at positions 28 to 523 of the family's 1533-position model. The record is from RNAcentral.
GAUGAACGCUAGCUACAGGCUUAACACAUGCAAGUCGAGGGGAAACGACAUCGAAAGCUUGCUUUCGAUGGGCGUCGACCGGCGCACGGGUGAGUAACGCGUAUCCAACCUGCCCACCACUUGGGGACAACCUUGCGAAAGUAAGACUAAUACCCAAUGAUAUCUCUAGAAGACAUCUGAAAGAGAUUAAAGAUUUAUCGGUGAUGGAUGGGGAUGCGUCUGAUUAGCUUGUUGGCGGGGUAACGGCCCACCAAGGCUACGAUCAGUAGGGGUUCUGAGAGGUAGGUCCCCCACAUUGGAACUGAGACACGGUCCAAACUCCUACGGGAGGCAGCAGUGAGGAAUAUUGGUCAAUGGACGAGAGUCUGAACCAGCCAAGUAGCGUGCAGGAUGACGGCCCUAUGGGUUGUAAACUGCUUUUAUAAGGGAAUAAAGUGAGUCUCGUGAGACUUUUUGCAUGUACCUUAUGAAUAAGGACCGGCUAAUUCCGUGCCAGCCGCCGCCGUAA